GUACAGCCCAGAGAGGUAUCAGCUCGUAGCCCCUCGAGUCCUGCCACGGACUCCGCAGAGGUGGACGCGCCGCGGAGUUGGGGGACGGCUCCCCCAAGCAGCCCGCUCUUCACCGCGCGGAAGCAAACUUAGCGGCGCGGCCAGCCCCACAGCCAUUUUCCCGGGAACCCGAGGAAGCGGACGAGGAGGCGGCUGCAACUGCGGCGGCGGUUCCUGCAGUUGCUGCCGCUGGUCAAUGGCUGGCCCCUUCCCUUGCGCUCGCCGUGCCACUUGCCUAGCAUCCCUCUCCCCACCUCCAAAGCUUCCAACUGCACCGGGACCUCGGGCAGCAGCAGCUGCUGCUACUGCCACUUCGUCCAUUCAGUAUCCCCGGAUUCCCCUCUCCCCACCUACCAACUGCGGGUGAAGUGCGCGCUGUCAGCUCCAGAGUCCUCCUCCCCUCUGACCUCCGUGGGCCCCCGUCCGGGCAGCACCACUCCCAGCCGCGGCUGCAGUUCCUGCGCCGGGUUCCCCACUCGCCCCGAUUUACUGCCACAAUCCACCAAAUAACAAGCUGUUGAGCAGACUCGCUUCUACACGAACUCCUAUUGGCUGCUCAUGACGCCGAAGAGCUUCGGAUAGGACCUCGCUACCUGCCGUCCUCAUUGGAUGUAGCUGUGAAACUUCAUGGAUUGGUGAGAAAAACAGCAGGUAGGACAUCUUCCACUUAUGAUUGGCUUUUUCCGAAAACCAACUUUAUUGGAGAGUUGGUUAUUGAGUAAGCAAGUCCUGAGAAAUGAUUGGUAGAGACGACUCCGGAUGUGCUUGACUGGGCACUGAUUGGUGAAUUGAGGGGUCAGGAAGAGCAGUUCGACACGAGGAUUGGCGGCGGAGUGUCCCAUGGAAACGGAACCCAGAAUUGCAGCCAGGGGCUUGCACGGGGGCGGGGCAGGGUCUGUCCAAGGCGCUUGCGCUAAACCAGCUUGUCGGCGCCAUUUUGUCUCGGCAGCGGUGGCCGUAGCUCCAUCGCAUUUUAUGUUUCUGGCGAGAAGGGAACGGAGUUUUCAUCAGGUAGAUUGGUUUUUGUGCGGCCGUCCUCCACCGUUUCCUCCAGGACAGCACCUAGUCGUGGCCGGAGGAGUCUCAGAGCUGUCAGAAAGGUGAGCAUUUGUACAGUGAAACAUUUUGCUACACAAAAGUGAUGUUUAGGAAUACUAACAAAUUAUUUUCAAGAAUAAGACUGAUUUUAUGGGAAAAUUAAGCAGAUGCUCCAGUUUGAGAAACCUGGAUCUGCGAUCUGUUUGUGGUACCAGCAUCAAGAUGAUUUAUGGUAAUAAGAUAUAAAACCAAGGAAAAUAACCUAAAGUCUGAAAAAGACCAGAAUCGAAGUUUCCUGAUUCAUAUUUUAAUGUUUUGAAAUUUAUACUCCAGGCUGGGUGCAGUGGCUUGUGCCUGUAAUCCCAGCACUUUGGGAGGCCGAGGCGGCCGGAUUGCCUGAAGUCAGAAGUUCGAGACCAGCCUGACCAACAUGGUGAAACCCUGUCUCUACUUAAAAAUACAAAAGAGCUGGGCAUGGAGGUGGUGCGCGCCUGUAACCCUAGCUACUCGGGAGGCUGAGGCCUAAGAAUCUCUUGAACCCAGGAGGCAGAGGUUGUAGUGAGCCGGGAUCACGCCACUGCACUCUAGCCUGGGCGACAGAGAGAGAGACUGUCUAAAAAAGGAAAAGAAAAAAAUUUAUACGCCAAAAAAGAUAUUCUGAGAUAACCUGUAGUUACCACUAACUUUGUGACAAAAUUAUAAAAAUCCACAGCCAUCUAUGAAUCUGUAGGCAGACCUGAAGUUUGAACGACUGGUGAAGACAUCUGAUUUUCUUUAUAGCCAAGUUAGGAUAACAAAAUGCAAACAAGUCAUUAAUAUUUACUAUAUGCAAGAUACAGAAAGAUGAAGGAAGGAGUAAGAAGUUAUCCUUCGUGGAACUAUUCAAAGCAAAAAUGCAAAAUACCAGGGAAAGCUUUGAAGAACCAAGAUUUGAGCAGGUUCUUAGAAUAUAGAUUGGAUUGGAUUUGAUUUCAAGAAAGAUGAACGUGUAAAGCAGAAGUGGGAAGCCAAAAACUUUUUUCCAAAUUAGAAUUAAGCAUUCUUUCAAUGAACAUUUGGAAAUCAAGGUAGAAAAAUAUCCCUAGGGCCUAGCUGAGGAGUCUGUAUGUUGUUGGGUUUUGAUAGUAACCAGUCCAAGAUUUUGUUAUUAGACGUGGGUUUCUGAAUAGACAGGCAUUUCUGAACAGACAUGACAGGAUCAAAACAAUGUUUGAGCAAACUGCCCUUCAUCUACUGUGGAUAUGUUGGGGGAUGAUGGAAUAUAGUGAAAGAUAAUGGGUGCUCAUACAGCAGUCUAGACUUAAGGUGAUUCAACUACUAUAUAUUAAACUAGAUUAUCUUUUAUUUUUUAAUUUUGAAAUCUGGAUGCUCAAGCUCUGCCUGCACAACCACAUGAGGAAGAAGGAACAAUGACAACAAAAAUAACACUAAAUUUAAAUUUAAGAGUACUACUUUUAGGAAAUAGACAAACCAUUAUUUGGGUACAACUAAAGGCAACUGGCAUGGACUCAAAUAUUUUGGGGAAGAAAAAGACUAAAAGUUCUAAGGAAGAAAAUGCGAACCUUGAUAGUUUGAAAUAGUUAAAAAGACAGUGUAGAAACUGCUUAGGCAGUUUGAUUAUGGACUAUUAGAUGAUACUUGGGUCUGAUAAUGGUAUAAGGAGAAUAAAGUAUUUAGGGAUCCAAUAUUACGCCUGCAGCUUUUUCCAAAUAGUUCAUGGGGGAGGGGGAUGUGUAAGUGGUUAACUGAAGUCUAACUAGAUAGGUUUGUUGUAAGCUUAGGAUGUUUACAGUUCUUCAUGUUAAGUUGAGCGUGAUGGGAAGGGAAAGAAUGCUGAUCUUUAAAUUUUUGUCCUUAGUUAAGUUCUGUAUUUAGUGAAUUAAUUGCAUCCUAAAAAGUCAAACUUGAAAAGCACAUUUUAAAUGGCAAAUCUAUUUUUUACAUGUUUGUGAAGUUUUUAUUUUUUAGUAAACAGACCAUCAGAAGAGAACAAUGGUACAGAGCAGGGGUCAGCAGAUGGAUUUUGUAAAGCAUCAACUUGUAAAUAUUUUCAAGUUUAUUAGCUGUAUGGCUCUGGUUUCUGUUCCCUGUUCCAAAUGUUAAAGUCUACUGUUGUAUUCUAAAAGCAGCCAUGGACUGAAUGUAGCUGUGUUCCAAUAAAACUUACACAAAAGCAGGCAGUGGGCCAUAAUUUGCAACACCUGAUUCACAGCAUAAUUUUGUCACAAACUGAAAGUGUUCCUCAAUUAAAGUGAUUUUUUUUUCUUGAUUUUUCUCUGGGAUUUAUUGUUUUUCCCAUUCCUUGCUAGGAUUUAACUACAGAAAGACAGAUAGUAACUGCUCUAAAUAUUCUAAUUUCCUUUAUUUUUUUGAGAUAAGGUGUCGCUCUGUUGCCCUGGCUGGAGUGCAGUGGCGUGAUCAUAGCUCACUGUAGCCCCCAACUCCUGGCUGGGGCUCAAACAGUCCUCCUGCCUCAGCCUCCCAAGUAGCUGGGACUACAGGCACGCACCACCUCACCUCGCUAACAUUUUGUUUUGGGAGAUAGGGUCUUACUCUUUUGCCCAGCCUGGUCUUGGAACUACUGGGCUCAAGCAGUCCUCCCAACUUGGCCUACCAAACUGGUAGGAUUACAGGGGUAAUCCCCCUCAACUGACAUAAAUAUUCUAAUUUUCAAAUUUCCAUAUAAUAGUAUGGAGAGAUGAAAACAAAAGGAAAAGAGUAGAAGAUAGGAACCUAGCAUCAUACUAGUAAGUGUGCAAUGGAAAAGAACAUAGGUCUAAGACUCAUAAGGUCUGGAUACUGUUCAGAACCAGCUGAUUCUGUGGUCCUAUGCAGUGUGUUUAAUCUGCAGUUGAGCUUGGGCUAAAUGACCUCUAAGAUCCUUUUGUCAGCUUUACUAAAAUACGAAACAAAUUAGGUUUUAUAGGGGGUUCUAGAACUUAGCAUUGUAUAAAUGCCAAGCACUAAUAAGUAUUUUCUAGAAGCUGGUCUUAAAUAAGUUGAAUGAGUAAUUAGUUGAGCAGGGUUCUAGUACAGCAUUAACAUUAAAUGUAUGUGAAAUUGUAUCUCACUUCAGUUUACCAAAACACUGAUAAAUGGUAUGCCUGCUUUUUAGGCAAGUUUCUGACAGGUAAUCAAUAAUAUUGAAACAGUAUCCAUGAAGUCUUUAAGUUGAUCAACGCAUGGCUAAAAGGAAAACCAAGUUUUUAAGAAAACUUUUUCACACUAAUAGCUGAAUUUUGUGAAAGAAAAAGUGGGUAGUCGUAAGAGUGUAGGCUUUAUGCCUUACCUGGCUAGGAGCAAAGCUAAGAGAACCGGUGGAGCACAGCCAGACAUAAAAGCUGUGUUCCAAAGAAAGAAUAUAGGAAAAAUAUAACUUUUUAUUAACUCAAAAUUUUAAACAAAAUUUUCAAACUAGAGCUCACAGAGAUUCAUAAAUAGGUUUCAAGGAUUUUGUGAAAUCAUAUCAAAAGUUGUGUUUUUCUAGAUUGAGGCUUUAUAGCAGUUAUUCAGAAUCUAUAAAGGGAUGUAUAACACAACUCUACAGAUAAUAUGUUACCAGCUUUCCCAUUCAGUGACUUAGCAGCUUCAUAAACUCUCAACAUCAAACCACACUAUAUCCUUACACCGAGCUUCCCCAGCCACAGGCCACAUGGGGCCAAACACAAAUUCGUAAACUUUCUUAACACAUGAUGAGAUUUUUUUUUAAGCUCAUCAGCUAUCAUUAGUGUUGGUGUAUUUUAUGUGUGGCCCAGGGAAGCCAAAUGAUUGGACAUCCCUGCCUUAGACUGAAAUGUCUGUGGUGAUAAAAUUUCACUGCAUUAGGAUGACGACAUAGUAAAAAUUCAAGCAUUAAUUAUUACCUGAAGCUUCUCUAUUUCCGUCUUUGCAGCUUGCCUGGCUUUGCCGAUGGCACAGCCCCAAUAACCCUAUUUAGAAAAAAAUAUAUAUAAUCACUGAAUUAGUACACUAUCAUAUGUAAUUAAUGACUACUAAUGUUUCUAUAACCUAGUGAAAGGAUGCUAAAUGACUUUUAAAAGCAAGUAUAGAAAAAUAUAGUCAAACACAUUCUGAUGAAUGCCAAAGGGCUCAAAAAUACUAAAAUACCAAACAAUUCCAAAACAACCUGUAUUUUUAAUAAAGGUAUAUCCAAAAAUAUGUAAAUUAUGUAAUCAUAUACACUUUAAGACAUUUUGGGGAACAGGAACGGAAAAGAUUUUAGCACUAUGACAAUGAAAAAUGAAAUUAUAUAUUCCUGAGAGACAGAAAUAAAGUUAAUUCCUAUGAGUUCAGUACUCUAAACCCCCAAUUUUAUUAUUUUGUAAAUUUUUUUAAAGAUAAGGAUGCACAGCUGGGUGUGGUGGGUCAUGCCUGUAAUCCCAGCACUAUGGAAGGCCAAGGUGGGCAGAUCACCUCAGGUCAGGAGUUGGAGACCGGCCUGGCCAACAUUGUAAAACCCUGUCUCUACUAAAAAUACAAAAAAAUUAGCUAGGUGUGGUGGCAGGUGCCUGUAAUGCCAGCUACUCCAGAGGCUGAGGCAGGAGAAUCGCUUGAAUCUGGGAGGCAGAGGUUGCAGUGAGCUGAGACCGCGCCACUGCACUCCAGCCUGGGCAACAGAGUGAGACUCCAUCAAAAAAAAAAAAAAAAAGGAUGUACACAUAUAUACUUCUGUUACAGCAAAAUAUAUUUAAGAAUCUUCAUUUUCUUCAAUUAGUAAAAACGACAAAAAUGUAAGGAUAAGAAAACAGUUAAGAAACGGUAACAGGCCGGGUGCAGUGGCUCACACAAAGUGCUUGUAAUCCCAGCACUUUGGGAAUCUGAGGCACGUGGAUCACUUGAGGCCAGGAGUUCCAGACCAGCCUGGGCAACAUGGUGAAAGUCUGUCUCUACUAAAAAUACAAAAAUUAGCCAGGUGUGAUGGUACAGGCCUGUAAUCCCAGCUACUUGAGAGGCUGAGGCACAAGAAUCCCUUGAAUCCGGGAGGCAGAGGUUACAGUGAGCCAAGAUUGCACCACUGCAGUCCAGCCUGGGCAACUGAGCAAGACUCUGUCUCAAAAAAAAAAAAAAAUGGUAAUAAUUUAGGGAAAGCUCUUAGAAAUCACAUUUAAACCUUCUCUUUAAAAGGGAAGGCAGGGCAAGGUGGCUCACACCUAUAAUCCCAGCAUUUUGGGAGACCAAGGUGGGCGGAUUACUUGAGAUCAGGAGUUCGAGACCAGCCUGGCUAACAUGGUGAAACCUCGUCUCUACUGAAAAUACAAAAAUUAGCCGGGUGUGGUGAUGCAUGCUUCUAAUCCCAGCCUACUCGGGAGGCUGAGGCAGAAUUGCUUGAACUGGGGAGGUGGAGGUUUGGCGCCACUGCACUCCAGUCUGGGUGACAGAGCGAGACGCUGUCUGAAACAAAAUUAGGUCCGGCACUGUGGCUCACGCCUGUAAUCCUUGCACUUUGGCAGGCCGGGGUGGGCAGACCACCUGAGGUCAGGAGUUGGAGACCAGCUGGCCAACAUGGCAAAACCCCAUCUGUACUAAAAAUACAAAAAUUAACCAGGCAUGGUAGUACAUGCCUGUAAUCCCAGCUAAUCAGGAGGCUGAGACAGGAGAAUUGCUUGAACCUAGGAGGCGGAAGAGGUUGCAGUGAACCAAGAUCGAGCCACUGCACUCCAGCCUGGGAGACAGAGUGACACUCCAUCUUAUAAAUAAAUAAAAUAAAAGGGAUGACAUGGCUGGACAUCGAUGCUCACGCCUGUAGUCCCAGCAUUUUGGGAGUCCAAGGCAGGAGGACUGCUUAAGGCCAGGAGUUUGAGACCAGCCCUGGGAACGUGGAAAGACCUUGUCUCUAUAGACACCAAAAAAAUACAAAAAUUAGCUAGGCAUGGUGGCAUGAGCCUGUAGUCCCAGCUACUUGGGAGGCUUAGGUAGGAGGAUCGCCUGAGCCCAGGAGUUGAGAGGCUGAAGUGAGCUAUGAUUGUGUCACUGCACUCCAGCCUGGGCAAGAAUGAGGAAAAAAGACAUUAAAUACAGUUUUAAGACAGUGUUUAUAGUAAUAAAGGAAAAUCACAUAUUCAAAAUACUAUAUGCACUAUACAGUUUCUAUAAAUAACAUACUGAAAAAAAAUCUUUCCUCUGCCUCGUAUCAGUUAUUAAUGAUAAGAAAACAUGGCUGGGCCUGGUGGCUCACACCUGUAAUACUCGCACUUUGGGAGACCCAGGUGGGUAGAUCUCUUGAGGACUGGAAUUCAAGACCAGUCUGGCCAACAUGGCAAAGGCCUGUUUCUACUAAAAAUAAAAAAAAUUAGCCAGGUGGUGCACACCUGUAAUCCCAGCUACCCGGGAGGCUGAGGCAGAAGAACUGUUUGAACCUGGGAGGCAGAGGUUGCAGUGAGCUGUGAUCACACCACUGUGCUCCAGCCUGGGCCACAGUGAGACCCUGUUCCCCCAAAAAGGAAAAAAAAAAAAAUUCUGUUGGACAAGAGGUUGUUGUAAAAAAAAAAAAAAGAAAAAUUACUUUCCUUGAAUGAGUUUUUUUUUAAUUUCAUAUAAUCUUAUAAUGAGACUUAAAUGCUAAUGAAAUACCAUUAAACUAAAAUAGAAUUUCAAAUGAUUCAAAAUUACUCACGUAUGAAACACCUGAUGGGUCAAUCAUGUAGAGUUGCGCACCGUCAUUCACACUGUAAGACCCUAACAUGAAACUGCAUGAAAGUAUACAAACAGCUUAAACCAUGGCAAUAACAUAAAAGUAUUUGUGAAAAAAUUAUUUUAAAAUGCAGUUAUAUUUUCUUUCUGAGAUAAAUUACUAAUACACAUAUAACUCAGUAAGUACUUUGAAACAGUGGUUUCAAUUAAUUAAAACUAUUACAUGAGAUUAUUCAAAAUUCAUGUAGCUUUUGUUUGUUUAGUAUUAAUCUUUCUGAUGAAGGUCUCCUGGAAAGUCUAGCAGUACAGGGAAAGGAGUAACGAUAGAUGAAAACCACAACUAUGAGAGGGCCCAAUAAAUAAGGCAUAAACACAAAAAGAUCAAGGGAACAAAAUUCCUGACGGAGAGUAUACUGAAUCCAUGUGAAAUUCUUUCCACCCUUCAUUCUAUUUCCCAAUAUCCUGCCAAUCAUUUCUCUGCAAUAAUCAGAAUUGGUUCAGUGUAUUUUUCUGUGCUCAACAAAUUAGGCUAUUAGCUGAUUGUAUGAAAUACUGAUUUUCUGAAAUUGUGACAUACAGUGGGCACUGUUUCCAUGAGUUCUGCAUCUGUGGAUUCAACAAACCACAGAUAGAAAACUUUCAAAAAACAUUGCUUCUGUACUGAACAACUGUGAUUUUCUUGUCAUUAUUCCCUAAACAAUACAGUGUAACAGCUAUUUACACUGUGUUAGGUAUUGCAAGUAAUCUAGAGAUGACAACAUACAGGAGGAUAUGCACAGGUUAUAUGCAAAUACUUAACCAUUUUAUAUCAGGGACUUCAGCAACCUUGGAUUUUGGUAUUCAUGGGAGGUCCUAAAACCAAUCCCCCACAAAUACCAAGGGACAACUAUAUUUGCCUUAGAGUAGAAAAGAAAUCAGCAGCAUCUUACACAUCAUCUUAUAUGCGGAAUAUUUUAACUAUUCAAUUCCCAUCCCUACCGUCAUUUCCUUCCAUUUUCUACCGAUAUGAGACUUAUCCUUCAGGAUAUAUAGCUCAUUGUCACUAUUUUAAAGCCUUUCAACAUUUCUUUGAAGAAAAUCAGCAUGGAGCACAGACUUUUAUAUGACUGGACCCCUUCCUACAUCAGUAUCAUCUCUAAACCUCAUACUCUACACACCAAGCAUACUUAACUCUCUCUGGCGCACGUAUUUUCAUACCAGUUCCUGUGCUUGCAACUACCAAGUCUCCCUACAUCUCACACUCUUCCUUGCCUCCUGUCCAGAAAGAGUCCGUUCCCUAAUUGUUGUCCCUUUAUCAUAUCACUAAUAUUUUAUCAAUGUGACUUCACACCUGUGUCUCCACAUUUAUGACUAACUCAGUGCCCAAUAGAUGUUUACUAAAAAAGUUCUCUCUGGCCCAGUGCGGUGGCUCACGCCUGUAAUCCCAGCACUUUGGGAGGCUGAGGUGGAUCACUUGAGGUCAGGAGUUUGAGACCAGCCUGGCCAACAUGGCGAAACCCUGACUGUACUAAAAAUAAAAAAAUUAGCCGGGCGUGGUGGCAGGUGCUUGUAAUCCCUGCUACUCAGGAGGUUGAGGCAGGAGAAUAGCUUGAACCCGGGAGGCAGAGGUUGCAGUGACCUGAGAUCGUGCCACUGCAUUCCAGCCUGGGCGACAGAGCGAGACUCCAUCUCAAAACAAAACAAAACAAACAAAAAAAAAGUUAUGAAAAAAAGUUAUCUCUACUAUUCUUACUCCCUUAAAAAGAGUAGAGAAGUUAACUGAUGAACUCAGAGCUCAGUUGAAAGGUAUUUUACAUGGUCUGAAAACAAAGUGUUUCAUAAUGUAAUUUAACUGAGAAGCUUAAGAAUGACUAAUGUCAGCCUGGGCAGCAUGGUGAGACCCCGUCUCUACAAAAAAAAAUUUUGUUAAUUAGCCAGGCAUGGUGGCCCAUGCCUGUGGUCCCAGCUACUUGGGAGGCUGAGGUAGGAGCAUCGCUUGAGCCAGGUCAAAGCUGCAGUCAGCCAUGAUGGCACCACUGCACUCCAGCUCAGGUGACAGUAACUGUCUCAAAAAGUAAAAACAAAACCCUAAUGUAAUAUUACCAAUAGAAUAAAACUCAAGUUUUCUUUAAUAUCUUAGUAAUUAAAUAUGACUGAUGAUAAACAACUCAAAGGUAGGACUACAGCUGAGCACUCAGAUGUUAGUAUAUGUAUUAUUUUGACCAAACAUGUUUGACUGUUUUAAGUCAUAAGCCAAACAUGUCUUUUCAUUUUAGAAAAAUCUAGUCACAAGUCUUCUCUGUGAAGCCAAAUUUGAAUAUUUAUACCUAUUCCAGGUCUUUAUGCAGCUGAAUCUCCACUUUACCCCACAAUAAAAUAUCAGCACUUCAACAGAAAGAGAAACCGUGCCUAAUGGGAAUUGUGAGACGUAAUUUUUAAAAUUACCUAAGAAUAUCAGGGACUAACACCGAGAGCUUAUUAUAAUCAGAUUAAAGUCAUUGUUAUCAGUUCCUUGUUUUAUAAUCACUUCAGAUCUAUAUAGUCCUUUUCACUAUUGAAACCUUUUUUUUUUUUUUUUUUUUUUUUUUAAAGAGGCAGAGUCUCUAUUGCGCCAGCUAGAGUACAGUGGUAUGGCCACAGCUCAUUCCAGCCUUCAACUCCUGGGCUCAAAUGAUCCUCUCAAGCAGCUCCUAAGUAGCUGUGACUACAGGCAUGUGAUACUGCACCUGGCUAAAUUUUAAAUUUUUUUUGUAGAGAUAGGUUCUCACUGCGUUGGCCAGGCUGGUCUCAUACUCCUGGGCGCGAGGGAUCCUCCCACCUCAACCUCCCAAAGUACUGGGAUUACAGGCUUGAGCCAUGGCACCCAGCCUCAAGUAGUUUCUAUGUACACUGUUUUAUUUAAUCAUUGCCCUAAUACUUAUCGACGAGUUUCUAUUUUUAAGUAUGUAAAAGGCUAAGAUGCUGGGGAACAUAAUAAAUAUCUAUAGUACAGAUCUGCCUUUUGAAUAAUUCACAAAAUUUCUUACCUGCAGCCAAAAGGUCUAACAGCACUGUAGAGUGUAUAUGCAUGCACAUACAUGGCCACUCUGUCUGCAAGAUGCUAUGGAGGGAAGCAGAAGAGCUUAUUAAUAAACUUCUAUUACUGUCCAAAAGGUUCCUCAAUAUGUUAUCAACUUACUUUUAGUGGAAUGUUGUAGCCAAAGUUAGAUCUGAAGUUGGAAGCUUCUUCUCUUGCUAUGUCUGCUAAAGAACGAGCAUCUGCCAACAAACCUGCUACUGCCUGAAAAAAAAGCACCAAUUUACUAGAGGAACACAUUCCUAUCACAAAUCAAAGUCUGCAAUUAAUAAAGACUUAUUAAACAUUUUUUUAACAAGUAUUACCAUUCAAAAUAAACUUUUUUGGCUUAAAGGUCUCUCUACAAGGCAUUUUGAUGCUUGAGUAUGAAAUUAUAAUUUAGAAAUUUAGUAAGUAUAACUUCAUUGCUUUGUCCAAUGUUCAUAUUCAGGACAUUUCCUUUUUUUUUUUUGAUACGGGGUCUCGCUCUGUCACCAGGGCUGGAGUACAGUGGCAUGAUCUCCGCUCACUUCACACUCUGCCUCCUGGGUUCAUGCCAUUCUCCUGCCUCAGCCUCCUGAGUAGCUGGGACUACAGGCGCCUGCCACCACGCCCGGCUAAUUUUUUUGUAUUUUUAGUAGAGAUGGGGUUUCACCAUGUCAGCCAGGACGGUCUUGAUCUCCUGACCUCGUGAUCUGCCUGCCUCAGCCUCCUAAAGUGCUGGGAUUACAGGCGUGAGCCACCGUGCCCGGCCAAUAUUCAGGACUACUUCUAUCAUAAAUCCUCUUCCCCUGAUUUACUACCACUACCUCAUUAUAACGAAUAAAAACCAUGGGUCUUGGUCAGAUUUUUUUUUUUUUUUUUUUUUGAGACAGAGUCUCACUGUGUCACCUAGGCUGGAGCACAAUGGCACCAUCUGGGCUCACUUCAACCUUUGCCUCUCAGGUUCAAGGGAUUCUCCUGCCUCAGCCUCCCCAGUAGCUGGGAUUGGCUAAUUUUUAUAUUUUUAGUAGAGACAGGGUUUGGUUUUGUCAUGUUGGCCAGGCUGGUCUUGA
This 11796-nucleotide long non-coding RNA is filed under the name Homo sapiens (human). RNAcentral describes it as "non-protein coding PSMA3-AS1:28". Lineage: Eukaryota; Metazoa; Chordata; Mammalia; Primates; Hominidae. The record is from RNAcentral.